This 494-nucleotide ribosomal RNA is filed under the name uncultured bacterium. Its description in RNAcentral is "bacterial SSU rRNA". It matches the Rfam family "Bacterial small subunit ribosomal RNA", at positions 903 to 1397 of the family's 1533-position model. The record is from RNAcentral.
AAAGGAAUUGACGGGGGCCCGCACAAGCGGUGGAGCAUGUGGUUUAAUUCGAGGCAACGCGAAGAACCUUACCAAGGCUUGACAUGGGGACGGACGCGCCGGAAACGGCGCGGCCCUUCGGGGCGUCCCACACAGGUGGUGCAUGGUUGUCGUCAGCUCGUGUCGUGAGAUGUUGGGUUAAGUCCCGCAACGAGCGCAACCCCUGCGCCCAGUUGCCAGCGCGUGAAGGCGGGCACACUGGGGGGACUGCCGUGGACAACACGGAGGAAGGCGGGGAUGAUGUCAAAUCAUCAUGCCCCUUAUGCCUUGGGCCACACACGUGCUACAAUGGGCGCGACAGCGUGAUGCGGGGCAGCGAUGCCGGGCAAAACACCAAAAGCGCCCCCAGUUCGGAUCGCAGGCUGCAACCCGCCUGCGUGAAGCCGGAAUCGCUAGUAAUCGCGGAUCAGCACGCCGCGGUGAAUACGUUCCCGGGCCUUGUACACACCGCCCGU